This is a long non-coding RNA of Amphiprion ocellaris (clown anemonefish), 1081 nucleotides long. Lineage: Eukaryota; Metazoa; Chordata; Actinopteri; Pomacentridae. The record is from Ensembl.
CAGGACUCAGCAGUCCACCUCCACCUCAAGGAGAAGGGGCACUCCUUUGAUGACCACAAGGUGCGCAUUCUAGCCAGAGAGGACAGAUGGUCUGAGAGAGGGGUAAAAGAAGCCAUUCAUGUCAAACUAGAAAGGCCAUCUUUGAACAGAGGAGGGGGCCUGAGACACCACUUGUCUCCCACUUACAAUGCCAUUCUUAGAGCCCUCCCAAGGAGGUGCAGCCAUCUGUCCCACCUGCAGUCAGGUGACCCCCAACCACCCUCCUAGAGGGCUGGGAGGGGUAACGACCGCCCAUCAAAGGCUAACAACUCCUAACGAGUCUAUUGGUUUCGGGUCUUUGUCCACUUGUUUUUGCCACCACCCUCCUGGUGGAUAAAUAUCUGGUACUCCCCACCAGGCUUUCAGAACUGAAGAAGCCUCUUGGAUGAGAGGUGAAACGUUUUCGACUCACACGAGGUCGGGAUUAUUUCUGGUGAGAAUUUCCAAAGAAGUUUCUUAGAGUGGACAUAUUGCCGUCAUGAAAUUGAAAAACUGCUUGGAGAUGACCAUUUCUCAUGUCCUGCCUGUGGAGAUGAUAUGGUUGCACUGAGCCUUGAUGGCAACAGAAAACUGUAUGGCUUCUGUAUGGUAAAGGGACUGAUGAAUGUCCAUACUUUCAUGGGACCUUCAUCGCCAAAGACACAGAUGUAGAGGAAUUUGUGAAAACAGUUCAAGAGAAAAUAAAAUCUGGAUCUGCACGCCCAUCCUAUGGCAAGUCAAACUUCAAAGCAGCCAGGGAGGUUGCUAGAAAGUCAGAGCCCAGACUGAAUGAAGAGGGCAUGAUGGCAUCAGUCUGCAGACACUGCAUUCUAUUUUUGUGGCCUUCACAUGUUUAGCAGGGAAAUCUUUGCCUACCCUCUCUACCUACAGCAAGCUCUUGGGAAAGAACACAAGGUUGAGUUUGUCUGCACUGACGUCAUGUGUAAAUACUAUCCAUAUGUACAGAGGGUAGUGGAGACCUUUCCACAGCUGCAGUAUGUCCUGCAAAUGUGCCCGUUUUUGUCAGUGACGCAUGCAAAAGGUCACUCAACAAGAUGUGAGG